Molecule: long non-coding RNA, 939 nt
Organism: Triticum aestivum (bread wheat)
Lineage: Eukaryota; Viridiplantae; Streptophyta; Magnoliopsida; Poales; Poaceae
Exons: 5
Source: RefSeq, a predicted model, not a curated record
GCGAGAUCACACGUUCGCUGGAAAAGUAGACUCGAUCAUAAAACUAGUUGUGUUCUCCCCCCAUCGUCCAGUCGAGAGGAGCUAUGACGACCCGGCACGUGCUCACCCAAUCCGUCGCCUUCCUCGGUACAUAUACACCGUCAUGGUCGUUGCAUUGUCGGUGCUGGUGCCCGAGGGAGUGAUGCUAGUGACGGGCGUCAAGACGCCGGCUAUGGCGGUUCUGUCGGAAAGCAUGGAGCCUGCAAUUAAAAGGGGCGAUAUGGUGUUUGUGCACAACAUGAGCAACGAACCUUUCCGGAGAAACUGCAUAUGGAUACCGGAUGCAUCAUAUGACUUGAAUUUAACUGCAUAUUUUUCUUAAAUUAUUAUAGGUUCACAAGCACCUGGAUACCGGAGAAACUCGAAUACUCACCAAAGGAGACAACAAUUCAGUGGACGAUCGGUUUCUCUAUCCAAUUGGGCAGCUCUGGCUUCAGCCGCAUGACAUUAUUGGACGGUUUGCGGGCUAUCUGCCAUAUGCUGGAUGGCCUAGUGUCUUCAUCAGUGAAGCUUAUAAGAUGUUGCCGAGUGGUGGAAGCACUACAACUCCACAAGUACACUGGGUCACAAUGUAACCAGGGCAGAUUUUUGUGGGUUGAUGUCAAAGUGUCCUGUUCGUAGUCAAGGAAUGCAUCAAGCGCAAGAAUUAUUUCGCAAAAAAAAAGAGAAUGCAUCAAGCGAUCGAGGAGUAUGUAAAACACACAUCAUUAUCAUAAUUUCCACACGGAGUUAAUACAACUCUGUUUGUUUUGUCAAAGUCAAUUUGGUACAUGGUCGACAUGAUUCUAACACCUUCUUUGGAAGGUAUAUUUUGAUGAAACAUGUAGUUGCAUGUAUACUUGUUGAGAAUGGACUGACAUGCAAUUAAGUUUAUCCAUUUUUCAAUUAGAAAAGAAGACU